UUAAUAGAAGCCAAAUUUAGAGGCCUCUCACUGUUAAUGAGUUCAUUGAAUAUUCCUAUUAAG
RNAcentral lists this transfer RNA (63 nucleotides) under Microdiplogynium sp. XFX. RNAcentral's name for it is "tRNA-Asn". The record is from RNAcentral. Lineage: Eukaryota; Metazoa; Arthropoda; Arachnida; Mesostigmata; Diplogyniidae.